CGCCGCAGCCUGAACACAGCAGAGUCCACACCGGCUGCGGCAUGCUUUCCAUACUUGUCAUCCUCCAGCUGCUGAUGAGAGGCCUGCAGCUCUGCUAUCUCUUUCCCUGAGGAUUCCAGGUGUUUCCAGAUCAUAGUACUGCCCUGAGAGUAUGAGGGAAAUGAGGUUGGAUUCUGGCAGCCCGAAACAUGAAUGCCGCCCAUACAGCUGUGUCAUAGGCCUACUCAAUCUCUCACGACAAAAAAGAUCAGCACUGCAGACUGGGCCCUGCAAGGAAGGAAUUCAUCUGGAUCAAUCAGACAGCCAGUGCUCCACACAGAGAUCUGACCAUCAUCCAGUCUGUCUGGAAUGACGUGAAGAAAUAGAACAAACUGAGACAGACUACAUCCAGAAGAAGUGUGGCAACGUCUCCAAGAUGCUUCAAGAGACCUACCUUCAAAGCUACCUGAAAAACUAUGCUCAAGUGCACCUCAGGCAAAAGCUGCUUUAAACACAAAGGAUGGUCACACCAAAUGAUUUAAUUUUAUGACAUUUAUCUAUUUAUGACAUUAUUUUUGACAGCGUCCUCAUUUUACAGCAUUUUUACACAAGUGCCUUAAACUUUUAACAGUACUUUUAGGGAUGCACGAUAUUGGAUUUUUGCCGAUAUCCGAUAUGCCGAUAUUUUUCAACUCAUUUUGGCCGAUUUAUUUCCUUUUGUUUGGAAACAACACCAAGUCUCUCCUGUACAGAAAUUAUAAACAAAAUAUUUUAAAUUUUGGUUCGUUUUUAACAAGAACUUAUUUAUUAGAAUUAAAUAAAAAAUAAUGAAGGUUUUUUAACAGUACAUUGAAGCUUUGAAAACAACUAUAAAUAAACUAUAUCAAUCGCUGCAUUUUCCCCCAGAAAGAUGCAGUGUUAACCCUAGCAUUUUAUUUUAAGAUUUAACAUUUAUAGAUGGUCUAAAACAAAAGAGUUGUAAAAAUUCAGAAAAUCUUUUAGAGGUCAUGAAUUGUUUUAAAAAUAAAACAUAUUACACAUUAAUGAAUAAAUCAGUAUAUAUAAAAUUAUUUAAUUUACAAGUGUCAUGUUUGUGAUUUUUUUUUCAUGUAAGCUAUAGCCUCUGACCAUUAAUUCAAAACAUAAUUUUAUGACAUCAAUCAGAUCUCUGUGGCCACCACUGUAUGUUUACACACACACACACACACACACACAUAUAUAUAUAUAU
Long non-coding RNA from Onychostoma macrolepis, 1207 nucleotides. RefSeq lists it as uncharacterized. The transcript has 3 exons. Lineage: Eukaryota; Metazoa; Chordata; Actinopteri; Cypriniformes; Cyprinidae. The record is from RefSeq and is a predicted model, not a curated record.